AGAGUUUGAUCAUGGCUCAGAUUGAACGCUGGCGGAAUGCUUUACACAUGCAAGUCGAGCGGCAGCGCGGGGCAACCUGGCGGCGAGCGGCGAACGGGUGAGUAUUGCAUCGGAACAUGUCCAUGUCGUGGGGGAUAGCCCGGCGAAAGCCGGAUUAAUACCGCAUACGCCCGAGAGGGGAAAGCGGGGGACCGCAAGGCCUCGCGCGAUUGGGUUGGCCGAUGUCCGAUUAGCUUGUUGGUGAGGUAAAGGCUUACCAAGGCGAUGAUCGGUAGCUGGUCUGAGAGGAUGAUCAGCCACACUGGGACUGAGACACGGCCCAGACUCCUACGGGAGGCAGCAGUGGGGAAUAUUGGACAAUGGGCGCAAGCCUGAUCCAGCCAUGCCGCGUGUGUGAAGAAGGCCUUCGGGUUGUAAAGCACUUUUGUUGGGAAAGAAAAGCGGUCGGUUAAUACCCGGUCGUUCUGACGGUACCCAAAGAAUAAGCACCGGCUAACUACGUGCCAGCAGCCGCGGUAAUACGUAGGGUGCGGGCGUUAAUCGGAAUUACUGGGCGUAAAGCGUGCGCAGGCGGCUUCCUAAGUCAGAUGUGAAAUCCCCGGGCUUAACCUGGGAACUGCGUUUGAAACUGGGAGGCUAGAGUGCGGCAGAGGGAGGUGGAAUUCCACGUGUAGCAGUGAAAUGCGUAGAUAUGUGGAGGAACACCGAUGGCGAAGGC
This 718-nucleotide ribosomal RNA is filed under the name uncultured bacterium. Its description in RNAcentral is "bacterial SSU rRNA". It matches the Rfam family "Bacterial small subunit ribosomal RNA", at positions 8 to 722 of the family's 1533-position model. The record is from RNAcentral.